RNAcentral lists this ribosomal RNA (198 nucleotides) under uncultured bacterium. Its description in RNAcentral is "partial 16S ribosomal RNA". It matches the Rfam family "Bacterial small subunit ribosomal RNA", at positions 328 to 539 of the family's 1533-position model. The record is from RNAcentral.
ACGCUCGACACCUACGGGGGGCAGCAGUGGGGAAUAUUGCACAAUGGGGGAAACCCUGAUGCAGCGACGCCGCGUGAGCGAAGAAGUAUCUCGGUAUGUAAAGCUCUAUCAGCAGGGAAGAAGAUGACGGUACCUGACUAAGAAGCACCGGCUAAAUACGUGCCAGCAGCCGCGGUAAUCUGAGCGGGCUGGCAAGGC